RNAcentral lists this ribosomal RNA (470 nucleotides) under uncultured organism. Its description in RNAcentral is "partial 16S ribosomal RNA". It matches the Rfam family "Bacterial small subunit ribosomal RNA", at positions 331 to 797 of the family's 1533-position model. The record is from RNAcentral.
GUACACUCCUACGGGAGGCAGCAGUGAGGAAUAUUGGACAAUGGGUGGAAGCCUGAUCCAGCCAUCCCGCGUGCAGGAAGACGGCCCUAUGGGUUGUAAACUGCUUUUAUCUGGGGAUAAACCUACUUACGUGUAAGUAGCUGAAGGUACCAGAAGAAUAAGCACCGGCUAACCCCGUGCCAGCAGCCGCGGUAAUACGGAGGGUGCAAGCGUUAUCCGGAUUUAUUGGGUUUAAAGGGUCCGUAGGCGGACUGAUAAGUCAGUGGUGAAAUCCGACAGCUUAACUGUCGAACUGCCAUUGAUACUGUUAGUCUUGAGUAAGGUUGAAGUGGCUGGAAUAAGUAGUGUAGCGGUGAAAUGCAUAGAUAUUACUUAGAACACCAAUUGCGAAGGCAGGUCACUAAGUCUUAACUGACGCUGAUGGACGAAAGCGUGGGGAGCGAACAGGAUUAGAAACCCCGGUAGUCCCA